AUACUUACCUGGCAAGACACCAUGAUCACGAAGUUGGUUUUCCCAGGGUGAGCCUCAUUAAUUGCACUUUGGAUGUACUGACCCCAGCGAUUUCCCCAAAUGUGGGAAACUGGGCUACAUAGUUUGUGGUGGUGGUGGGGCAUUCAUACUUUCCCCUU
Molecule: small nuclear RNA, 158 nt
Organism: Nannospalax galili (Upper Galilee mountains blind mole rat)
Lineage: Eukaryota; Metazoa; Chordata; Mammalia; Rodentia; Spalacidae
Gene: U1
Rfam family: U1 spliceosomal RNA
About the family: U1 is a small nuclear RNA (snRNA) component of the spliceosome (involved in pre-mRNA splicing). Its 5' end forms complementary base pairs with the 5' splice junction, thus defining the 5' donor site of an intron.
Source: Ensembl